RNAcentral lists this ribosomal RNA (500 nucleotides) under uncultured bacterium. RNAcentral's name for it is "bacterial SSU rRNA". It matches the Rfam family "Bacterial small subunit ribosomal RNA", at positions 8 to 497 of the family's 1533-position model. The record is from RNAcentral.
AGAGUUUGAUCAUGGCUCAGAGUGAACGCUGGCGGCAGGCCUAACACAUGCAAGUCGAACGGCAGCACAGCAGUAGCAAUACUGUGGGUGGCGAGUGGCGGACGGGUGAGGAAUACAUGGGAAUCUGCCCUGUCGUGGGGGAUAACGUAGGGAAACUUACGCUAAUACCGCAUACGACCGGAAGGUGAAAGCGGCGGACCGCAAGGCGUCGCGCGAUUGGAUGAGCCCAUGUCGGAUUAGCUAGUUGGCGGGGUAAAGGCCCACCAAGGCGACGAUCCGUAGCUGGUCUGAGAGGAUGAUCAGCCACACUGGAACUGAGACACGGUCCAGACUCCUACGGGAGGCAGCAGUGGGGAAUAUUGGACAAUGGGCGCAAGCCUGAUCCAGCCAUGCCGCGUGAGUGAAGAAGGCCUUCGGGUUGUAAAGCUCUUUUGUCCGGAAAGAAAAGCCUUCGGUUAAUACCCGGGGGUGAUGACGGUACCGGAAGAAUAAGCACCGGC